Molecule: ribosomal RNA, 230 nt
Filed under: uncultured bacterium
Lineage: Bacteria
Description: partial 16S ribosomal RNA
Rfam family: Bacterial small subunit ribosomal RNA
Source: RNAcentral
UAGGAACGGAAACCCUUACCCUUACAAGGGUAGGGGAAAUAACUCGCAAGAAAUGCGAGCUAAUACCGCAUGUGGUUGCGGAGUGGCAUCACUUUGCACCUAAAGAUUUAUCGCUUGGAGACGGCCUCGCGGCCUAUUAGCUAGUUGGUGGGGUAACGGCCUACCAAGGCGAUGAUGGGUAGCUGGUCUGAGAGGACGAUCAGCCACACUGGGACUGAGACACGGCCCAG